GACGAACGCUGGCGGCGUGCUUAACACAUGCAAGUCGAGCGGCAAGGCCCUUCGGGGUCCUCGAGCGGCGAACGGGUGAGUAACACGUGAGUAACCUGCCCCAGACUUUGGGAUAACCCUCGGAAACGGGGGCUAAUACCGGAUACGACACAGCUUCGCAUGGGGUCUGUGUGGAAAGUUUUUCGGUUUGGGAUGGGCUCGCGGCCUAUCAGCUUGUUGGUGGGGUGAUGGCCUACCGAGGCGACGACGGGUAGCCGGCCUGAGAGGGCGACCGGCCACACUGGGACUGAGAGACGGCCCAGAGUCCUACGGGAGGCAGCAGUGGGGAAUAUUGCACAAUGGGCGGAAGCCUGAUGCAGCGACGCCGCGUGAGGGAUGACGGCCUUCGGGUUGUAAACCUCUUUCAGCAGGGACGAAGCGUAAGUGACGGUACCUGCAGAAGAAGCGCCGGCCAACUACGUG
This 462-nucleotide ribosomal RNA is filed under the name uncultured bacterium. RNAcentral describes it as "partial 16S ribosomal RNA". It matches the Rfam family "Bacterial small subunit ribosomal RNA", at positions 28 to 507 of the family's 1533-position model. The record is from RNAcentral.